UCGUCCCGAUGCCCCUCCUCAUUGACCCAAAUCCCGUGGAGGCAGCGCACGAACCAAAUCUUCUCCGAGGGCGUCGGCGGCGGCCGUCGCGCAGAUCCCUAGUCCAAGUUGGGUGAGCACUCCUAGUAGAGGUGAUGCUCCUUCUCUCGAUGGCUCCUUGCCGUUUUGUGGCUGGCAGCUCAGUUUGAGGCAGACCAGAUCGGAGCUCAUCACCAACUAACCUCCGCCCCGCAGCUUCCGUCGUAGAUUCCCUUCUGAAGCUUCCAACAUCGGUGGGUUCUUUGCCUCCUCUCUCAAGUAACAACUAGCGCCCUCCUCCCCCUCGUCGGCGGCAAGCCGGUGGUGGUCUCCUCGGCUCCUUCCCCUCUAGUCCGUGCAACGAGGUGGUUCAUUUUCCUGGUGGUGGGCUCCUCGGCUCCUUCCGAACCGACCUGUGUGACGUGGUGCAAAUCUACAAGGCAUCAACACGAUGGUUAAUUUCUCUGGACAAGAAGUUCAAUGAACAAGAAGCACUUCAUCUAGAGGCAACUAUUGUGUGUCAUCAAGAUAGCAACGUCGAUCUAGUUCUUAAUGGCAAUGCUUGCUCAGUGAUGAUUAUCAUAGUCCUUCAAACUUAGCAUAGCCCGCCAUGUACGAAAGUUGAAGCAAUUUUCUCUAGUAAUUCUUGUUGAUCUUGUCAGGUUAUUGAUAGCUCAAUAUGAAUGUCUUCUUGUGUUAUGCCCGGUAUGUUCCAGUUUGACAUGUACUAAAAAAUGUGCCGUGGAUAGACCAGUUUGACAUGCAGUCAAGCAUUAUGUGCCUAGAAUGGUCCAUUUUAACGUAUACCCAAUUUUCUGUUCCUGA
Molecule: long non-coding RNA, 843 nt
Organism: Triticum dicoccoides
Lineage: Eukaryota; Viridiplantae; Streptophyta; Magnoliopsida; Poales; Poaceae
Exons: 3
Source: RefSeq, a predicted model, not a curated record